UUUAGCAGGCCAGAGGCGAUUAGCAAUUGAGUAAUGGACAUGGUGACACCGACAAAGAGACAGACAGACAGACAGACACAGAUCGAGCGAGAGUAUGAAACCCAAUCCGAGUUCAUUAUCUCCUCGUCCACAUGACUGCCCUUGGCUCAUCUGGCCCAAAACAAACUUGCUUGGGAAUUAACAAAGAAAAAAAAAUCUGAAGGCAAAAAAAGGGGAGGAGGAGGUUCUUCUCAUCGACUGAACUGCCAUCAAAUGUUGAAUUUUUGUACGUCAACUGAUUUUCUUGGCAACUGCCGCUUGAAUUUUCAUCAAAUCAGAUCUUCAAUCUCAUCCGAGCGUCACCCAAAUGCUACUGGAUUCUCUUCAAGUUCAAGUAGGACACUUUUUGGUGUGUCAUUUGCACCGAGGACCCCCUUCGUAGCCGCCUGAGCCUGCCUGCGAUCUUUCCGUCCGAUGUCUUCAUGACAAACGGGGGAGAUGAAACAACAAUCAGACCUUCCCAAGGACACCUUUGCCGCCCAAGAUGGAAUAUACCCAAACGACGCAGUUCAUCGGACUGCCUCUUCCAGAGUCAUUCCAUGCCAAACGCGGUGAGCAGCUGGAAUUAAUGCGGGCUACCUUAAAAAUCAACUGACCUCCAACCCUACGUGUGAGAAGAAAAAAAGCUAAAAAACCCACACAGGCACAGUAGGUCACGGCUUGGUCACAAAACCAACACACAAAAGGAGAGUAGGAGAAACAAACGCAGAGGAAAUGACAUCACGGGGUGAAGGGGAAUCUAAUUGUGGUGACCGCAUUUGACGCAACGUAAGCCGCUGUCGCGGGUUUGCAAGGGAACGGAGCCACCGACAACUCCGGUGGGCCAACUCCAUUUUCAAGUCCCGUGCAGAAAUCAAGAGAAGAAGGCAACC
Hippocampus comes (tiger tail seahorse) is the source of this 911-nucleotide long non-coding RNA. RefSeq lists it as uncharacterized. The record is from RefSeq and is a predicted model, not a curated record. The transcript has 2 exons. Lineage: Eukaryota; Metazoa; Chordata; Actinopteri; Syngnathiformes; Syngnathidae.